CGUAGCUAUACCGCAUGAUGCAGUUGGGUCGCAUGACCCUGACUGCCAAAGAUUUAUUACGCUCUGAGAUGGCCUCGCGUCUGAUUAGCUAGUUGCGGGGUAACGGCCCACCAAGGCGACGAUCAGUAGCCGGACUGAGAGGUUGCCGGCCACAUUGGGACUGAGACACGGCCCAGGACUCCUACGGGAGGCAGCAGUGGGGAAUAUUGGGCAAUGGGCGCAAGCCUGACCGAGCAACGCCGCGUGAGUGAAGAAGGUUUUCCGGAUCGUAAAACUCUGUUGGUAGAGAAGAACGUUGGUGAGAGUGGAAAGCUCAUCAAGUGACGGUAACUACCCAGAAAGGGACGGCUAACUACGUGCCAGCAGCCGCGGUAAUACGUAGGUCCCGAGCGUUGUCCGGAUUUAUUGGGCGUAAAGCGAGCGCAGGUGGUUUAUUAAGUCUGGUGUAAAAGGCAGUGGCUCAACCAUUGUAUGCAUUGGAAACUGGUAGACUUGACGUAGCCAGGAGAGGACGAGUCG
This 519-nucleotide ribosomal RNA is filed under the name uncultured bacterium. RNAcentral describes it as "bacterial SSU rRNA". It matches the Rfam family "Bacterial small subunit ribosomal RNA", at positions 159 to 668 of the family's 1533-position model. The record is from RNAcentral.